AACAGAAAAGAAGUAAACACAAAUUUUAUCUUUAUUUAUAAUAAAUUAUUAAUGUCUCAAAAAAAUGAACGGAAAUAAAUCUAAAAAAAUAAAGAAAAUAUAGUGCCCCGAAUUGGUAGUAAGUCACAAAGCCAAUUCUUUUCACGAAAUCAGUGUAGUGAAAAGAUUUGGGAAUAAAGUUAUACAAAAAGAUGCGAAUUUGUGAGAUACAGAUAUGUGUGCUUUGUUUAUGUGCAACCAUAUGAAACAAGAUGCCCAGGAAUAUCAUUUGGAUACUUCAUGAAUGAAACUAUCGGCAAUUUCUUCCCAAGCAACUGACGGAGGCUCCACUGUCUAGAAGUCCUUGGUAAGCAGAUCCAUGUAUCUGCACUGUUAUAUAAGAUUUUCUUUCGAUGAAUCUAUUUCUGGCUUUUGCUAUGUUUUUGCUAAUGAUGGGACGGUAGUCGGAGAAAAUUUCUGCACGCUUUUCAUUAUACCUUUCUAGACGUUGUUCAUAAGACAAGUUUGGGUUAGGAUUAGUAUUGGAAUUGGAUGUCGGUAGAAUAUAAGUGCUAUUGUUAUAUUACAAUCAAUAUAAGUACAUUCCGGUUGACAUUUUGUAGCUUGGAGAUCCUAACAAAAAGCUAAUAGUGUUUGAGACUACUUGAUCCCGAUGCACAAUAAUCUCCUGAAUAACAAGUGCUCUAAUUAGUCUAAUUGAAUUUAGAAAAUUGAAUAUGUUAUCCGAGAUUUUGUACUUUAAAAUUUAUAAAUGUUUUCCAAUUUUCAAGAAAAUCAAAUAAAUUUAAUUCAUGUCAAGAUUGUGUGUCAAAUUUAUCCAUGAACUAAGUAUUGGACAUUUUACCUUAUAAUAUUAAUUUGAGUCCUAUAGAAUCUCAUCUCUUCUCAUUCCAGACAAAAACAAAUGAACUCUAAACUACUUUGGUUUCCGGAUCAUGCUUUUUGUCCAGAAUUCGAAUUGAUGGGAAUCCAAUUGACUCACUUCAGUAAUCAGUAACUUUCACGGAUAGAUCGCAACUCAGGCAGGCUACUUUCCUAUGUAGCU
Molecule: long non-coding RNA, 1045 nt
Organism: Lucilia cuprina (Australian sheep blowfly)
Lineage: Eukaryota; Metazoa; Arthropoda; Insecta; Diptera; Calliphoridae
Exons: 5
Source: RefSeq, a predicted model, not a curated record